This 520-nucleotide ribosomal RNA is filed under the name uncultured Glomeromycotina. Its description in RNAcentral is "SSU rRNA". It matches the Rfam family "Eukaryotic small subunit ribosomal RNA", at positions 569 to 1090 of the family's 1831-position model. The record is from RNAcentral. Lineage: Eukaryota; Fungi; Glomeromycota.
AGCAGCCGCGGUAAUUCCAGCUCCAAUAGCGUAUAUUAAAGUUGUUGCAGUUAAAAAGCUCGUAGUUGAAUUUCGGGGUUAGUAGAUUGGUCAUGCCUCCGGUAUGCACUGGUCUUACUGAUUCCUCCUUCCUGAUGAACCGUAAUGCCAUUAAUUUGGUGUUGCGGGGAAACUGGACUGUUACUUUGAAAAAAUUAGAGUGUUUAAAGCAGGCUAACGCUUGAAUACAUUAGCAUGGAAUAAUGAAAUAGGACGUUCGAUCUUAUUUUGUUGGUUUCUAGGAUUGACGUAAUGAUUAAUAGGGAUAGUUGGGGGCAUUAGUAUUCAAUUGUCAGAGGUGAAAUUCUUGGAUUUAUUGAAGACUAACUACUGCGAAAGCAUUUGCCAGGAUGUUUUCAUUAAUCAAGAACGAAAGUUAGGGGAUCGAAGACGAUCAGAUACCGUCGUAGUCUUAACCAUAAACUAUGCCGACUAGGGAUCGGAUGAUGUUAAUUUUUUAAUGUACUCAUUCGGCGCCUUA